GGUGAGUAACGCGUAUGCAACCUUCCUGUAUCGGGAGGAUAGGCCUUGGAAACGAGGAUUAAUACUGCGUAAAAUUAUUGUAUCGCAUGGUAUAAUAAUCAAAUCUACGGAGGAUACAGAUGGGCAUGCGUGCCAUUAGCUAGAUGGUAAGGUAACGGCUUACCAUGGCAAUGAUGGCUAGGGGUUCUGCAAGGAAGAUCCCCCACACUGGUACUGAGACACGGACCAGACUCCUACGGGAGGCAGCAGUGAGGAAUAUUGGUCAAUGGAGGCAACUCUGAACCAGCCAAGCCGCGUGAAGGAAGACUGUUCUAUGAAUUGUAAACUUCUUUUGUGACAGAGUAAAGAUAGCUACGCGUAGUUAUUUGCAAGUAUGUCAUGAAUAAGCAUCGGCUAACUCCGUGCCAGCAGCCGCGGUAAUACGGAGGAUGCAGGCGUUAUCCGGAUUUAUUAGGUUUAAAGGGUGUUCAGGCUGUCUGGUAAGUCAGAGGUGAAAGUCGGUUGCUUAACGAUCGAAUUGCCUUUGAAACUGUCAGACUUGAGUAUGGAUGUGGUAGGCGGAAUGUGUAGUGUAGCGGUGAAAUGCAUAGAUAUUACACAGAACUCCAAUUGCGAAAGCAGCUUACCAAACCAGCACUGACGCUGAAGCACGAAAGCGUGGGUAGCGAACAGGAUUAGAUACCCUGGUAGUCCACGCAGUAAACGAUGCUCACUCGCUGUUGGCAAUACACCGUCAGCGGCUAAGGGAAACCGAUAAGUGAGCCACCUGGGGAGUACGAUCGCAAGAUUGAAACUCAAAGGAAUUGACGGGGGCCCGCACAAGCGGUGGAACAUGUGGUUUAAUUCGGUGAUACGCGAGGAACCUUACCUGGGCUUAAAUGUGAAGUGCAUUGUUUGGAAAUAGACAUUUCCUUCGGGACUCUUUACAAGGUGCUGCAUGGUUGUCGUCAGCUCGUGCCGUGAGGUGUCGGGUUAAGUCCCAUAUCGAGCGCAACCCGUAUUGUUAGUUACCAGCGCGUCAAGGCGGGGAGUCUUAUGAGACUGCCGGUGUAAACCGCGAGGAAGGGGGGGAUGACGUCCAAUCAGCACGUCCUUUAUGUCCAGGGGUACACUCGUGUUACAAUGGUCGGU
RNAcentral lists this ribosomal RNA (1131 nucleotides) under uncultured organism. Its description in RNAcentral is "bacterial SSU rRNA". It matches the Rfam family "Bacterial small subunit ribosomal RNA", at positions 105 to 1238 of the family's 1533-position model. The record is from RNAcentral.